GAACAUUGGGCUAUUAUAUCCAUUAAAGCAAGAAAGAGUAUAUUUAAUUGUUUCUGGUUUAAGAUGUCCCUAAAGUGAUGUCUGCUUUGUUUUCUUCUUCCAAAAUAAAAAAUGUUGAUUUUAGCCAGGCUCCUUUCCAUUGACACGCGCUACACUUCUGGAUGAGAAUACAGAAAAUGCCACCUUUAUCUUCACCUAAGACCACCUGGAUUCCAGAUAAUGGUCAUUACACUCUUCAGAGAUCGGCUAAAUAUGGCACUUGAAGUGUUAAAUAGAAAAGGCUUUCUGUGAAAGACAGGGAUGCCAGCUCCUAGACCACCCUCAGUGCAAGAAGACAACAGAUGAUGGAGUACAGAUGAUUCUACUGGGACUGUGGUAACGCUAACCACUGGACAAGACUGUCCCAUGCCUCACCCACUGACAGGACCCUGCCCAAGCAGUGGACAAGCAGGACACUGGAGAGUUGAUUGACCUACUUUGCCUAAACAAGACCUACAGGGACAAAAAUGGAGAAGAGCCUGAAGAAAGGAGAUCCAGUGGCAGGUUCAAAUUGGGAUCCAUCUCAAGAGGAGGCUCCAAGACUUGACACUGUUACUGAGGCUGUGGUGUGCUUACAGACAGGAGCCUAACAUGGCGGCCUCCUAAGAGUCCCAGCAAGCAGCUGACUGAGACAGAUGCAGAUACUUACACCCAACCAAUGGACAGAAGCUGGGAUCCCCUGUUGUUGAAUUGGGGAAAGCUGGAAGAAGUCAAGGAAGAGGGUGAACCCAUAGGAAGACCAGCAGUCUCAACUAACCCAGACCCCUAAGGUUUCUCAGAUACUGAGCCACCAAUGAGGCAGCAUACACCAGCUGAUAUGAGGCCCCCACCAUAUAGACAGCAGAAAACUGCCUGGUCCUCUCAGUGAGAGAAGAUACACCUAACCCUGGAGAGACUUGAGGCCUUAGGGAAUGGGGAGGUCUGGUGUAGUGAGGAAUGGGAGUGGGGGUGUGAGUGGGGACAUCCUCUUGGAAAUGGGGCAGGAGAUAGGGUCAGGAGAAAUGUGAUGAGCUACUAUCAGAGGGUGGUCUGGGAGGGGGAAUAAAGACUGGACUAUUAAAAAAAGAUUAAAAAGUAAUAAUAGUAAAGAAAAAUGUGUAAAUGUGAGCUGUAAAGGUCUAAGAAAUUGAAUUAGGCUGUGUAAAACAAUGGGAAGUGUUUCAGACUGUGGCCCACCCCACCCCUGCUCUCUGUGCUAUUGUUGAAUUAAGACUGCAAGAGUUCAGAGCUUUAACAUUAAUCAGUGCAGUUCUGAUAACUAUUAAUCCAAGUCUGCCAUAACAUUGGCAUAUCAGUCACAAGUGCAAAUUUUUAAAUUUCCUUUGGUUGUUUUCUAAAUAUAGACUUAAAAGUGCUUCUCACUCAUGCUAAAAAUUGUCUUGUUCAACUAUACUUCCAGUUCUCUGGAUACAAAGUGUUAAUGCAUUUAACCUAGAAUCGUAGCUUUGGGUUCCCACACUUUUCCUACGAUUCAAAAGUGUGAGUCUACUGACUCUUCUACAAUGCACUCUUCAGUACAGAUAACAGUGGUAAUUUGUAAACUUUAAAAAUUCUUGUAAGUUUCAGACUUGGAUACAGCUGUCACAGGUCAAAUGGACUGAAGACAAGUACUCCUGUCAAUCAACAGACGAAGUUUCUCUCUGCCCCUCCCUAUUCCUGAAAGUGGGCUUUCUUCCUCUUCCCUUGGUUUUGGGACUCUUCCACUUCCCCAAACCAGGAACCAUGGACCUAGAAGUUUCAAGGGUACACCCAAGAUAACAACUUUCCUUCCUCUAAGCUCCGUAACUUUACUUUCUUCCUCUUUCUCCUCUUCUUCCUCCUUUCUUCCUCCCCCUUCUCCUUAGAGCAGUCAUGUUCUUAUUCCUAUUCAAUGUGAAAAUAUUAUUUCUCACUGAGCAUGUUAUAAAUACCUUAGUGUCCAUUUUCAGUAUCUGUUAGGCAAAAUUAAUAGCUAAUAGAGUAAGAAAGAUUGCAUUUAUCCAAAUUCAAAUGAUUAAACAUCCUUAAAAUAGAAUCUGUAGAUAGAGUGGAUCUAAUGUUAACAUUAAAACAUAGUUAGAAGACAAAAGGACCCCAGUAAAACCACAAAGACCCAGAGCAUUACAUAACUUCAUGAGGCCCAUGUCUUACAAGUUCCAAAAAGGACUAACAAACUUUUCUAUUUUGUUAAUGAGAGGCAAACAAAGCAUUUUAGCAAGGAGGGAUCAGUUGCUGCUGGCCUUUGAGGCUGGCUUACCCUGCCUGGGUUUUCUGAGGAAAUACUGCCGGUGUGAACUUUCCAAAUGUUCUUUGGCCCUAGGAUGGUCGGAGGCCUUGCAAAGAUGUCAAAUGCUCUUCGUAUAACCACUAGCCACGCUGCAGUUAGACAGAGAGCUGCAGCCUGCCACAGCCCUUUUAUCUCAUUUUCCUUUAGAAAUUAUAUAGCCCUUUAAGAAACAGAAAACUUUCUUUUAAUUGACAGUGUUGGAGCUAGAAAUCUGGGAAUAUUUUCACAGUCCUUAAAAGCUUUCUGGCCUACAUUUAGCCUUUGGAGAUUGCCUUCCCCUGCCCUCCAAUAAAGUCUGUCCUGCUUGUCAGUGUUGACCCCUUUGGUUAGCACAUUGCCCUCCCUUGAAGCCUAGGACCCAUCUCAAAAAAAUUAAGGAGAUAAGAGGCCGUAUGAAAGCUCUUAAGAUACUUCACAUUUGGAGCAAACAAUGGACUAUUUACUUGCCUUAUCUUAGGAUGGGUGUUCCCUCAGUUCAUUAGGGAAGGGCCAGGGUAGAGGAAAUUUACACAAGGGACUGGGCCCCACAAAUCUCCUAGGAAGUAGCUAGAUCUUCAGGGUACCAGCCCCUGUGACCUCAGCCAAGCCAGCCAGACGCCAAACAGAAGAUAUUGUUUCAAGUAAACCUUUUCUCUUUAUGUUGAGCCUGAGUGUUUUGUAACUGAAAUGAGAGACAUGUAUGUUGGGGGGUAUUGUUAAGGUUUCUGUAUCAUACGUGUAUGGAAACAACUAAAGAUUACUCAAAAGAAAGUAGAGUUUAUUUUUUGAGGAGCUGAUACAGUGUGGUAAUUAGCCACUAUCAACAGCAUUUCUCAGUAACUCAGAGC
This 3132-nucleotide long non-coding RNA is filed under the name Mus musculus (house mouse). Its description in RNAcentral is "RIKEN cDNA 4930432J09 gene (4930432J09Rik)". The record is from RNAcentral. Lineage: Eukaryota; Metazoa; Chordata; Mammalia; Rodentia; Muridae.